UGGGGGAUAUUGGACAAUGGGGGGAACCCUGAUCCAGCGACGCCGCGUGAGUGAAGAAGUAUUUCGGUAUGUAAAGCUCUAUCAGCAGGGAAGAAAGAAAUGACAGUACCUGACUAAGAAGCCCCGGCUAACUACGUGCCAGCAGCCGCGGUAAUACGUAGGGGGCAAGCGUUAUCCGGAUUUACUGGGUGUAAAGGGAGCGUAGACGGUUAUGUAAGUCUGGAGUGAAAGCCCGGGGCCCAACCCCGGGACUGCUUUGGAAACUGUGUAACUAGAGUACAGGAGGGGCAGGCGGAAUUCCUGGUGUAGCGGUGAAAUGCGUAGAUAUCAGGAGGAACACCGGCGGCGAAGGCGGCCUGCUGGACUGAAACUGACGUUGAGGCUCGAAAGCGUGGGGAGCAAACAGGAUUAGAUCCC
RNAcentral lists this ribosomal RNA (417 nucleotides) under uncultured bacterium. Its description in RNAcentral is "bacterial SSU rRNA". It matches the Rfam family "Bacterial small subunit ribosomal RNA", at positions 355 to 786 of the family's 1533-position model. The record is from RNAcentral.